CAGUACGUAAAGAACGAUGGUCGUUAAUACGCCCAGACAACAUUGCUGAGGGAACUGCAACAGCACAAGUGUGUCAUGAUGCAACAGCAAGAGAGGCAUGGACUUCAAAGUAUCUCACUGAAACUCCUACGAUCAACUGGUAGGACUGAACGAAAUAAUAUCAAAAAUAAAUAUUAGGAUCAUCGUCAUGAACGUUCAGUUUCAAUCGGCGCAAAAUGUUCUUCUUCCAUGGCUUAACGAAAUACGAAACCCGACGAUGGCUACUACUCAUUCUUCUCUCGAAAAAUUGCCAAGGCCGUGCGGAAGGGUGAUAUCGAAUUUAUAAAACAAAUUCAAAAACUCGAUAGCAACUUUUUGAACAUGUUUUUAAUAGAGAAGAGGGACUACGAC
This is a long non-coding RNA of Dreissena polymorpha, 390 nucleotides long. RefSeq lists it as uncharacterized. NCBI's taxonomy places the organism in Eukaryota, Metazoa, Mollusca, Bivalvia, Myida, Dreissenidae. The transcript has 5 exons. The record is from RefSeq and is a predicted model, not a curated record.